This 305-nucleotide small nuclear RNA is filed under the name Erinaceus europaeus (western European hedgehog). RNAcentral describes it as "7SK RNA". It matches the Rfam family "7SK RNA". From Rfam's summary of the family: 7SK was discovered as an abundant small nuclear RNA in the mid-70s but a possible function has only recently been suggested. Two independent studies have found that 7SK RNA binds the CDK9/cyclin T complex (known as elongation factor P-TEFb). Lineage: Eukaryota; Metazoa; Chordata; Mammalia; Eulipotyphla; Erinaceidae. The record is from Rfam by way of RNAcentral.
GAAUGUGAGAUGACAUCUGUCAUUUCACAUACGACAUCGGUCACCCCAUUGAUUGUCAGGGUUGAUUUGGCUGAUCUGGCUGGCUAGGUGGGUAUCCCCUUCCUCCCUUACCGCUCCCUCCCAAAGCUGUAUGUUUGGUUGAAGAGGAUGGCCUUCCCCAAAUAGAGACAGACCUGUCUUUGGUCGACGGUAUAUGAGUAGCUGCACUAUUGUUAGAACCUCCAAACAAGCUCUGGAACCACAUGAGAUAUUACCUCAUACAUAUGUGAAUGGUUCACAUCAACAAAUCAAGAAAUGGCAAGUGU